This 253-nucleotide ribosomal RNA is filed under the name uncultured bacterium. Its description in RNAcentral is "partial 16S ribosomal RNA". It matches the Rfam family "Bacterial small subunit ribosomal RNA", at positions 524 to 776 of the family's 1533-position model. The record is from RNAcentral.
GACGUAGGGCGCGAGCGUUGUCCGGAUUUAUUGGGCGUAAAGAGCUCGUAGGCGGCUUGUUGCGUCGACUGUGAAAACCCGCGGCUUAACUGCGGGCUUGCAGUUGAUACGGGCAGGCUAGAGUCCGGAGGAGGCGAGUGGAAUUCCUGGUGUAGCGGUGAAAUGCGCAGAUAUCAGGAGGAACACCAAUGGCGAAGGCAGCUCGCUGGGACGGUACUGACGCUGAGACGCGAAAGCGUGGGGAGCAAACAGG